RNAcentral lists this long non-coding RNA (852 nucleotides) under Helianthus annuus (common sunflower). RNAcentral describes it as "hypothetical non coding rna". The record is from RNAcentral. Lineage: Eukaryota; Viridiplantae; Streptophyta; Magnoliopsida; Asterales; Asteraceae.
GGGGGUGCGGAUGAGGUGUUCAACCAUAUUUUCAAGGGGCGCGGUCGGGUUUUUUGCCUAAAAUAUACACUAAAUUUUUUUUUCAAGGGUUGCGGCCGCCCACCCUGACCACUAUGUAGGUCCGCCCAUGCACUAAACCCGAAUUAAACAUGAGUAUAAUGAAAUUUUCAAGUUUAUCAUCUAGAACUCAAUCAAGAACCAAAUUCAAAGGCCUCAGCAAAUUAAACCCAAUAAACCCUAAUUAAACAUGAGUUUAAUGGUAACAUAAAAAUCUGAUUUUUAAUUUAUAAACUGAUUACAAAUUUUCUUGCUUUAUUUUGUUGGUACUAAAACUUUCAACUUUUAUCCUCUAAAACUCAAUCAAGAACCAAAUGGCCUCAAAGAUAAGCAACAGAGCAUCAAAAUCAACCCACUAAACCCUAAUCAAACAUGAGUUUAAUGGUAACAUAAAAAUCUGUUUUUUAAUUUACAAACUGAUUACAAAUUUCUUGCUUUAUUUUGUUGGAACUAAAAGUUUCAAAUUUAUCAUCUAAAACUCAAUCAAAAACCAAAUUCAAAGGCCUCAAAGAUAACCAAUAGAAUAACAAAAUUAAACAUGAGUCUAAUGGUAACAUAAAAAUCUGAUUUUUAAUUUAUAAACUGAUUACAAAUUUUCUUGCUUUAUUUUGUUGGUACUAAAAAUUUCAACUUUAUCAUAUAAAACUCAACCAAGAACCAAAUGGCCUCAAAGAUAAGCAACAGAGCAUCAACCCACUAAACCCUAAUUAAACAUAAAAAAAUCUGUUUUUUUUUUUUUUUUUUUUUUUUUUUUUUUUAAUUUACAAACUAAAUACAAACUUUCUUGGUAGUACA